This is a long non-coding RNA of Dunckerocampus dactyliophorus (ringed pipefish), 470 nucleotides long. RefSeq lists it as uncharacterized. Lineage: Eukaryota; Metazoa; Chordata; Actinopteri; Syngnathiformes; Syngnathidae. The record is from RefSeq and is a predicted model, not a curated record. The transcript is spliced from 4 exons.
GUGACGCAUCCGGCAAAUAAAACCAGAUCGCGCGAGACUUCCUGUCUUUACUCUCUCCUGGCGGAUGUAUAUCGACAACCUGCAUCGUUGGCGUUAGUAUGCAGCGGUUUCCAUAUGUUUAUAUGCCUUUCUGUUCAUCUUUGGCGGUACCUAAAGCACACAAGCCUCCAUAAAAAGCUAUCGUUUUGAUUAGCAUUUGAAAUAGGUGACAAUGUGGAGUUGUUGCAUGUGCUAGCUUGUUAGCUUCAAGCUACAAGGCAACCAGCACGUGGUCAAGAGCAUAGCUGCCGUCCAGCAAGACACAAGUUCGACUUACAGGUUCCUGCUCCAGAUGGUUCCAUGUCUGCAGAGAUGCAAAACGUGCUGGAUGUGCGGUACCUGAGGAGAUGGACAGGUGUCAUUCCUGAGUUGGGCGGAGCAACCUGAAGAUUCAAAUUCAUCUAGGAAACAAAAUAAAGUCUGUUGAUUCA